CGUAUUGAGAAUUAAGCAAGAUUGUUAAAAUCGGGAUCCUAUGUUGGAUCGUUGAGGUGUUUAUAGGAUCGGAUCGUAGGAUCGGAUCGAUGAUCGUAAAAUCCUACCGAAAAAGACAAAUUACAUAAUAAUUUAAUUUAAAUAAAUAUUUCUUAAAAAGUAUACACAAAAUGAACCUAUAUUCUAUUAAAAAAAGGGGAAGAUAUUUUGAAACAUAUAAUACUCCAUGUAAAAUGUACAUAUAAUAUUAUAUAACAGAAAACUCGAUGGUAAAAGUUUUGUAUUUCAUCAAAAAAGAAAGUGAAGAACAAGAAUUCUAUAACAAAAUACUUUACAAUCUACAAUAAUGCAUAAAAAGUGAAAAAAAAAUAUUUAACAAAGUUGAAUAUGAAAAUAGAUUAAGAACUCAAAAGAGCAACUUAACCUUCAACAUCCUUGGUGAAACGAAUUCGAGUCACAAAAAUAAUUUCUCCAAAAAUUGAGAUAAAGUUGCACUCAUCUUACACUCAUUAGACUUUGCUAAAAUUAAGUUUGUUUUUCCGACUAGUUAAUUUUCUUAAAUUAUAGCAAUAUUUGAAUGUUUGUUUCCUAGUUUGUUUUUCUUAGUCUAUUUGAUCCAAUACUAUUUAAUUUUUAUUAUUUAUUUUGACCACAUAAAUUGAUGUUUAGACAACAAAUAUAAAAUUUACAAUAAAAUAUGUCAUACAAUACAAAACAAGGCUUGUAAAUUGGAUCAGAUAGGAUCGGAUUCGGAUCAAGAUUUCACGAUCCUAUAAGAUCUUAUUACCACCAGGAUUGAAAUAUCCUACCUAUAAGGAAUCUUUUACACGAUCCGGAUCGAUUGUACUCAAAUAGAUCAUAAGAUCGUAGGAUCGUAAAAUCCAGAUCGGGAUUUUGAUAACCAUGGAAUUAAGGUCUAGAUUUGCAAAAUGGGUGCUGGGUUUGGGUUUAAAAGCCCUAAAGUUAAAUGCACAAAUAUCUACAAAACACAUGGCCUGUUUAAAUGUUGCUUAGAAUUUGAAAGAGUUCAUUCACAUAUAGUAAAAUGUAAGCUUCUUAAAUUUUUAUUUUCAUUUUAAAAAAAAUUGAAUUUUGGACUUUCAAAAAAAUAGAAAAGAAAAAAUUACAUAAAUAAUCCCCAAGGUUUAGCCCUUGUAACAAAUUGAACCUGAAAAUUUGAAUUUUGGACUUUCAAAAAAAAAGAAAAGAAAAAAUUACAUAAAUAAUCCCCAAGGUUUAGCCCUGGUAACAAAUUGAACCCAAAAAAUUUGAAUUUUGGACUUUCAAAAAAAUAGAGAAGAAAAAAUUACAUAAAUAAUCCCCAAGGUUUAGCCCUUGAAAUAAAUUGAACCCAUCUUGUCGCCACACAAGUGGUUGUGGUGAGAGGAAGGUUAGGAGUUCAAGUUGAUAGAGCGGCGGCAACCCUUUAGUGAUAAUCUAACUUCACUAACAAACUUGGCCAAAAAAAAAACAAAUUGAGCGCUGGGUUUUAAAUUUUCUUUUCAUAUUAAACCCUAAUCUUCCAAUUAGAUGUCAAUCCCAACCAUUCAUUUUUUUGCCUCAUUCACUUAAUUUUAAUCAUAAUUUUGAAUUUAUCCUACCAAAUCAAUACCACACUUUAUUAAAUAUAAACAAAAUCAACAAAAUCAGAACCACUUAUCGAUGAUCCAAACAACAUCCAUAUCCAUCAAAAUAUUAGAUCCGAUAAUUGUAACAUUUAUUUUAUCAUGUUUGUCUUGGAAAAAUAAAUGAUCUACUUUCAAAAAUACAUUUACCCUCUAAUUUUUUAGUGACAAUUGUGUAAAUGAUAUAAACGAACAGCUUAAAAAAUGAAUGUCAGACAACGCUCUCACAAUAAGAAAAUGAAUGAAUGCUUUCAAUAGUAUAGAUAUAAUGUUAUGCAAGAAGCAGGGAGGGUAUGAGAUCACUGAUUGACCCCCCCAAAAAAUACCAUCUCCACAAUAAACAUAGAUAAAGAAGAUGGUAUAAAAA
Molecule: non-coding RNA, 1992 nt
Organism: Camellia sinensis
Lineage: Eukaryota; Viridiplantae; Streptophyta; Magnoliopsida; Ericales; Theaceae
Source: RefSeq, a predicted model, not a curated record